This 693-nucleotide ribosomal RNA is filed under the name uncultured bacterium. RNAcentral describes it as "bacterial SSU rRNA". It matches the Rfam family "Bacterial small subunit ribosomal RNA", at positions 8 to 684 of the family's 1533-position model. The record is from RNAcentral.
AGAGUUUGAUCCUGGCUCAGGACGAACGCUGGCGGCGUGCCUAAUACAUGCAAGUCGAGCGGACAGAUGGGAGCUUGCUCCCUGAAGUUAGCGGCGGACGGGUGAGUAACACGUGGGCAACCUGCCCUGCAGAUGGGGAUAACUCCGGGAAACCGGGGCUAAUACCGAAUAAUCAGUUUCUCCGCAUGGAGAAACUCUGAAAGACGGUUUCGGCUGUCACUGCAGGAUGGGCCCGCGGCGCAUUAGCUAGUUGGUGGGAUAACGGCCUACCAAGGCAACGAUGCGUAGCCGACCUGAGAGGGUGAUCGGCCACACUGGGACUGAGACACGGCCCAGACUCCUACGGGAGGCAGCAGUAGGGAAUCUUCCACAAUGGACGAAAGUCUGAUGGAGCAACGCCGCGUGAGCGAAGAAGGUUUUCGGAUCGUAAAGCUCUGUUGUGAGGGAAGAACACGUGCGGGAGUAACUGCCCGCGCAUUGACGGUACCUCAUUAGAAAGCCACGGCUAACUACGUGCCAGCAGCCGCGGUAAUACGUAGGUGGCAAGCGUUGUCCGGAAUUAUUGGGCGUAAAGCGCGCGCAGGCGGUCCUUUAAGUCUGAUGUGAAAGCCCACGGCUCAACCGUGGAAGGUCAUUGGAAACUGGGGGACUUGAGUACAGAAGAGGAAAGCGGAAUUCCACGUGUAGCGGUGA